AGAGGGUGACACUCCCGUCCGCCUGGCAGAGUGAGUCAUUUGUCAACAAGUCGAGUUGUUUGGGAUUGCAGCUCUAAUUUGGUGGUAAAUUCCAUCUAAAGCUAAAUAUUGGUGGGAGACCGAUAGCGUACAAGUACCGUGAGGGAAAGAUGCAAAGAACUUUGAAAAGAGAGUUAAAGAGUACCUGAAACUGCUAGAAACGGAGCGAAAGGAAACAGUUGUUUGUUUGUCAUUACUUCCUAGCCUACUUGGUGGUCGUUGGGCGCUGGUGGGCUUGCGUGUAGGUUUUGGGUUGGUUGACUUUCCGUUUAGGAAGAGCGCAGUCAGUAGUUGAUGUCU
This 339-nucleotide ribosomal RNA is filed under the name Pseudo-nitzschia multiseries. RNAcentral describes it as "partial large subunit ribosomal RNA". It matches the Rfam family "Eukaryotic large subunit ribosomal RNA", at positions 207 to 554 of the family's 3401-position model. Lineage: Eukaryota; Bacillariophyta; Bacillariophyceae; Bacillariales; Bacillariaceae. The record is from RNAcentral.